RNAcentral lists this ribosomal RNA (490 nucleotides) under uncultured bacterium. Its description in RNAcentral is "bacterial SSU rRNA". It matches the Rfam family "Bacterial small subunit ribosomal RNA", at positions 40 to 507 of the family's 1533-position model. The record is from RNAcentral.
CGGCGUGCCUAAUACAUGCAAGUCGAGCGGAGUGAUGAAGAAGCUUGCUUCUUCUGAUUUUAGCGGCGGACGGGUGAGUAACACGUGGGCAACCUACCUUGUAGAUUGGGAUAACUCCGGGAAACCGGGGGCUAAUACCGAAUAAUCCAUUUUGCUUCAUGGCGAGAUGUUAAAAGGCGGCUUCGGCUGUCACUACGAGAUGGGCCCGCGGCGCAUUAGCUAGUUGGUAGGGGUAAUGGCCUACCAAGGCGACGAUGCGUAGCCGACCUGAGAGGGUGAUCGGCCACACUGGGACUGAGACACGGCCCAGACUCCUACGGGAGGCAGCAGUAGGGAAUCUUCCGCAAUGGACGAAAGUCUGAUGGAGCAACGCCGCGUGAGUGAAUAAGGUUUUCGGAUCGUAAAACUCUGUUGUAAGGGAAGAACACGUACGAGAGUAACUGCUCGUACCUUGACGGUACCUUAUUAGAAAGCCACGGCUAACUACGUG